GGGGGAUCCAGACCUGCAGGCCACAGCGUCGCUGUUGUCUGCUCUGAGACUAACCACAGGUUUACCUGUGACCAGACCAUACUGUAUCCUGGAGCCCUCAGGGUCAUCAUGACUCUCCUGCCUCAUGUCUUUACUGCAGAGGAUCCACAGCUGUCAGUGGAGGUCCAGUACUCAGUAGCCCACCACCUCCAGGUGAUGGUAACAUCAGAGAAGAACCGGCAGAUUGUCUGCAAGGGG
Long non-coding RNA from Oncorhynchus keta (chum salmon), 237 nucleotides. RefSeq lists it as uncharacterized. The record is from RefSeq and is a predicted model, not a curated record. NCBI's taxonomy places the organism in Eukaryota, Metazoa, Chordata, Actinopteri, Salmoniformes, Salmonidae. The transcript is spliced from 3 exons.